GCUUUAUCAAGAGCGGUGGAGGGACUGGCCCUAUGAAGCCCAGCAACCAGUAUUGUUUUUUAAUACAUUGGUGCUAAUUCCUACAGCUUAAGCUGAAAGAUAGGGG
RNAcentral lists this non-coding RNA (106 nucleotides) under Clostridium kluyveri. RNAcentral's name for it is "SAM-I sequence". It matches the Rfam family "SAM riboswitch aptamer (S box leader)". From Rfam's summary of the family: The SAM riboswitch is found upstream of a number of genes which code for proteins involved in methionine or cysteine biosynthesis in Gram-positive bacteria. The SAM riboswitch acts at the level of transcription termination control. The predicted structure consists of a complex stem-loop region followed by a single stem loop terminator region. The record is from RNAcentral. RNAcentral also lists the same sequence under 1 other name. Lineage: Bacteria; Bacillati; Bacillota; Clostridia; Eubacteriales; Clostridiaceae.